RNAcentral lists this RNase P RNA (357 nucleotides) under Betaproteobacteria bacterium. RNAcentral describes it as "RNase P RNA component class A". It matches the Rfam family "Bacterial RNase P class A". From Rfam's summary of the family: Ribonuclease P (RNase P) is a ubiquitous endoribonuclease, found in archaea, bacteria and eukarya as well as chloroplasts and mitochondria. Its best characterised activity is the generation of mature 5'-ends of tRNAs by cleaving the 5'-leader elements of precursor-tRNAs. Cellular RNase Ps are ribonucleoproteins. Lineage: Bacteria; Pseudomonadati; Pseudomonadota; Betaproteobacteria. The record is from RNAcentral.
GAAGCCGGCCAGAUCGUCGCUGCCUUCGGAGCGCAAGCUCCGCAGGGAGAGGAAAGUCCGGGCUCCACAGAGCAGGAUGCCGGGUAACGCCCGGCCGCAACAGUCGAGGCCUCGCGGCCAAGGCGAAGGCGAGGAACAGGGCCACAGAGACGAGUCGCCCCCGGUCAAACGGGAGCGGGUGAAACGCGGCAACCUCCAUCCGGAGCAACGCCAAAUAGGCGGACGACGACGCUGCUCGCCGAGUCCGCGGGUAGGCGGCUCGAGCCCGGCGGCAACGCCGGGCCUAGAGGAAUGACGGUCAUAGCGCGUGGUCUCCACGCGCCGUAACAGAACCCGGCUUAUCGGCCGGCUUCGCGC